AGCUUUUACUUCCUUCUCAGGCACCGCAAAACAUACAGAAUGUUCACUACUAGCCUGAGAAAUCAUAAUAACAUUAGCUCCUACAUCCUUAACAGCACCAAAAAUGGCAUUGGCUGUACCUGGGACACCAGCCAUACCAGUGCCUUCAACAUUUACAAGGGCGACAUUGUCUAUUGUUGCGAAUCCUUUAACAAAAGACACUAGACUCUCACUUUCCUCAUCAACUGGGUGCCGGCAGAUCUUUGUUCCAGGUGCAGAGAGAUUGAAAAUAUUUCUUAUGAUAAUUGGGAUGUCAUAUCGCAUUACUGGAAUAAUUGUACGAGGAUGUAAAACAUUUGCACCAAAAUAUGACAUCUCCCAGGCUUCUUGAUAGGACAAUGUCUGUAAAACAACUGCCUCCUUAACUUUUCUCGGAUCUGCACUAUAAACACCAUCAACAUCAGUCCAAAUCGUGACUUGCCGAGAUGUUAGCAGAGCACCCAUUAUCGCAGCAGAAAAGUCACUUCCAUCUCUCUUUAAAGUAGUGGGUAUGUUUUCAUGUGUACUGGCAAUAAAACCAGUUGCAAUGAUUAUCUUGGAUGAGUUUUUGGAAUACCAUAGCUCAAGUCUUUUCUCAGACUCCAAAAAGUCUGGAUCAACUUGAUUUGAAGAAGUGGGAUUUACUAUCAAAACUUCCCUUGUAUCCAUCCACUUGCAAUCAAAACCCCUCUUUCUAAUAACAGCUGACAACAUACUAGCGGACCACAACUCUCCAUGUCCUACAACAAAAUCUGUAAAGGAUUCCAUGGCAUGGCCAGCAAUAUAAAUUGCUCGAAGCAUAGCCUUCAGAUUAUUAAUAUCAUGAUGCAACUGUGAUAAGAAACUGGCCAGUUCAUCCUCAUCAAGCAAAUCAUGUGCUGUUGAUUUAUGCUUUUCUAGAACCGCAUCCAAGGCAGAUACAUAAGACUCAUCCCGGGAUUGAGCCUUGUUAAUGAGGUCAUACAUCAUAUCCGUCACUUUUGACAUUGCAGAGACAACUACCAAUUUCCUCUCUGAAUCAUCGUUAACUAUUAUUUCAGCAACAUUCUUAAUUCUUUCUGAGUUACCCACACAGGUACCACCAAAUUUAUGGACGGACCAAACAUCACCCUUGGGAAGUUGAACAUUUUCAGUGGAUUUUUCCAGUGAGACGUCUGCAAUGGAAGCACAUAACUGUUUCCUUUGUGUCCCUCUUCUCGCCCGCUGACAGACAAGGGCCAUUCUAUGAAGCUUAGAACGAAAGAGUGAAAUGGGUUGUCGGCAUUUUGAGUGAGAGUAUAUGAUGUAUUUGGGAUUGGACUCAAUGGGCGUUGUUUGAGGCGAUGGAAGGUGAGAUGAGUGAGAUAGCACAUAGGAGAGCGACGCCAUUAGAAAUUGAAGAAAUGGGGUUUGACAGAGCCGGCGGCGGCGGUAUGUAAAUCAGUUUGCCUUCUUGUUCUUUGUGGGCUCUUGGGAUUUCAUUCAAGUUGAUGG
RNAcentral lists this unclassified non-coding RNA (1491 nucleotides) under Hevea brasiliensis (rubber tree). Lineage: Eukaryota; Viridiplantae; Streptophyta; Magnoliopsida; Malpighiales; Euphorbiaceae. The record is from RNAcentral.